RNAcentral lists this small RNA (94 nucleotides) under Deinococcus gobiensis I-0. Its description in RNAcentral is "hypothetical noncoding RNA". Lineage: Bacteria; Thermotogati; Deinococcota; Deinococci; Deinococcales; Deinococcaceae. The record is from RNAcentral.
GACUCGACCGGCCGCUGGGCGACGGGCGCUUCGAGUGGCGUGGCCUGUCCUUCCCGACCCGGUUCACGCCCAGCCGCUGGGAGGUGCUGGCGCA